Non-coding RNA from Triticum aestivum (bread wheat), 139 nucleotides. Lineage: Eukaryota; Viridiplantae; Streptophyta; Magnoliopsida; Poales; Poaceae. The record is from Rfam.
GGCAUCGGAGAAGAAGAGCUGCUCUCCUUCAUCAUUGCAGGGCUGGAUAUGGACUAUUAGCCCAUCAUAUUUGCCCUCGACGUCCGCACCAACCCUGUCUCCGUCGACGAGCUGUUUGCCAUGGUGGCGAACUUCGACC